ACGGAGGACCCAAGCGUUAUCCGGAUUCAUUGGGUUUAAAGGGUGCGUAGGCGGAAUGAUAAGUCAGUGGUGAAAUCCUUCAGCUUAACUGGAGAACUGCCAUUGAUACUGUCAAUCUUGAGUACAUUUGAUGUGGGCGGAAUGUGUCAUGUAGCGGUGAAAUGCUUAGAUAUGACACAGAACACCGAUUGCGAAGGCAGCUCACAAAACUGUAACUGACGCUGAGGCACGAAGGCUAGGGGAGCGAACGGGA
RNAcentral lists this ribosomal RNA (253 nucleotides) under uncultured prokaryote. Its description in RNAcentral is "partial 16S ribosomal RNA". It matches the Rfam family "Bacterial small subunit ribosomal RNA", at positions 525 to 777 of the family's 1533-position model. The record is from RNAcentral.